RNAcentral lists this ribosomal RNA (274 nucleotides) under uncultured bacterium. RNAcentral's name for it is "partial 16S ribosomal RNA". It matches the Rfam family "Bacterial small subunit ribosomal RNA", at positions 523 to 796 of the family's 1533-position model. The record is from RNAcentral.
AUACGGAGGGUGCAAGCGUUGUUCGGAAUCACUGGGCGUAAAGGGCGCGCAGGCGGUUUGAUUAGUCAGAUGUGAAAGCCCACGGCUUAACCGUGGAAGUGCAUUUGAAACUGUCAGACUUGAGUAUCAGAGGGGAAAGUGGAAUUCCCGGUGUAGAGGUGAAAUUCGUAGAUAUCGGGAGGAAUACCGGUGACGAAGGCGACUUUCUGGCUGAAUACUGACGCUGAGGCGCGAAAGCGUGGGGAGCAAACAGGAUUAGAAACCCCGGUAGUCC